UCAAAAUUCCACCAAAAUUCAUAGGGAAAGAAUUUUAAUGCCAAAUUUUGCAGCAAUCAACUUUCAUAUACCUAUUUUGAUUUCCAAUUGGAAUCAUGGCAAAAUCUAUUUUACAACUCAAGAUACAAGCAAAAAUAUACAAGCUGUCCAGAAUUCUGUCUCAGUGCGAUUAGUAAUAGAAAUGUAGGAAUUUCAAUAGAAAAAUAGCAUAAUCUAUUUCUGGUCAUAACUACAAAAUUUUUAAAGCUCUCUUUAAGCUUUCCAAUGCCGCAAGAAUCACUCUAUUUUGAGUUUUCUAAUUCAAGUUAUGAAUUUUUAAAAUCG
Molecule: unclassified non-coding RNA, 324 nt
Filed under: Hevea brasiliensis (rubber tree)
Lineage: Eukaryota; Viridiplantae; Streptophyta; Magnoliopsida; Malpighiales; Euphorbiaceae
Source: RNAcentral